RNAcentral lists this unclassified non-coding RNA (424 nucleotides) under soil metagenome. Its description in RNAcentral is "partial contains 5.8S ribosomal RNA, internal transcribed spacer 2, and large subunit ribosomal RNA". The stretch from base 1 to 120 matches the Rfam family "5.8S ribosomal RNA", at positions 35 to 154 of the family's 154-position model. The record is from RNAcentral.
GAUGAAGAACGCAGUGAAAUGCGAUAAGUAGUGUGAAUUGCAGAAUUCCGUGAAUCAUCGAAUCUUUGAACGCACAUUGCGCCUUCUGGUAUUCCGGAAGGCAUGCCUGUUCGAGAGUCAUUAACAACCGUUUCGAUCCCUUUCUUUCAGAAAUUACAAAGAGGAAAAGGGUUUGGUUAUGGUGGAGGAGGGAAAGGGAGCGUUUAGCCUGUAAAAAAAGAGGCUGUGUUCCGCCUCCCCCCCAAAAUUGUACAGGCGGUCGUGUGCGCCCACGCAUCGAGGUGUUGUAAAAGCUGCCACGGCACUUUUCACCUGUGCAGUGCGAGAUUGGCCAGCCGGUUUAAAAACCCCUCCAAACAAUCAAAGGUUGACCUCGGAUCAGGUAGGGAUACCCGCUGAACUUAAGCAUAUCAAAAGCGGAGGA